RNAcentral lists this ribosomal RNA (255 nucleotides) under uncultured bacterium. RNAcentral describes it as "partial 16S ribosomal RNA". It matches the Rfam family "Bacterial small subunit ribosomal RNA", at positions 524 to 776 of the family's 1533-position model. The record is from RNAcentral.
UACGGAGGGUCCGGAGCGUUAUCCGGAAUCAUUGGGUUUAAAGGGUCCGUAGGCGGCCCUGUAAGUCAGUGGUGAAAUCUCCCGGCUCAACCGGGAAAUUGCCAUUGAUACUGCAGGGCUUGAAUUAUUGGGAAGUAACUAGAAUAUGUAGUGUAGCGGAUGAAAUGCUUAGAUAUUACAUGGAAUACCGAUUGCGAAGGCAGGUUACUACUAAUGGAUUGACGCUGAUGGACGAAAGCGUGGGUAGCGAACAGG